Long non-coding RNA from Trachemys scripta elegans, 336 nucleotides. RefSeq lists it as uncharacterized. The transcript is spliced from 4 exons. NCBI's taxonomy places the organism in Eukaryota, Metazoa, Chordata, Testudines, Emydidae. The record is from RefSeq and is a predicted model, not a curated record.
GUACCAGGCUAUUCUGAGUUCAUAAAUAUGCGGAACUUCAUACAAGCAGCCCUUGAAAGUCAAUUUCUGCAGAUUUUACUGGUUGUUCUUAGUGACAUUGACAUCUCACUGUGAAAACUUUCACACUGUUGGACUACACACGUGGGCUGCCCUGGAAGUGAUUCUUAAACCGGAGAAGAUCUCUGUAGAUGUGAGGAGGCACAAAAGGGACAGUUUAUUCUUUCGAAGUUGCUGGAACUGCUUGCAGUAAGAAAUAAAAGCUGUGCGUCAAUCAAGAAAACUAUUUCAAUUGUUCAGAACAUGCUGCUAAACUAACCUUUGCAGCUACAUUUUUAG